This 470-nucleotide ribosomal RNA is filed under the name uncultured bacterium. RNAcentral describes it as "bacterial SSU rRNA". It matches the Rfam family "Bacterial small subunit ribosomal RNA", at positions 28 to 507 of the family's 1533-position model. The record is from RNAcentral.
GAUGAACGCUGGCGGCGUGCCUAACACAUGCAAGUCGAACGAGGUCCAUGCAGUGGCAACACUGCGGAAGACCUAGUGGCGAACGGGUGAGUAACACGUGAGGAACCUGCCCCGAAGACCGGGAUAACUCUCCGAAAGGAGCGCUAAUACCGGAUGCCCCCACCGAACCGCAUGGUUUGGUGAGGAAAUGGAUUCCGCUUCGGGAGGGCCUCGCGGCCUAUCAGCUAGUUGGUGGGGUAACGGCCCACCAAGGCAUCGACGGGUAGCUGGUCUGAGAGGACGAUCAGCCACACUGGGACUGAGACACGGCCCAGACUCCUACGGGAGGCAGCAGUGGGGAAUCUUGCGCAAUGGGCGAAAGCCUGACGCAGCAACGCCGCGUGGGGGAUGAAGGCUUUCGGGUUGUAAACCCCUUUCAGCAGGGACGAAUCAAGACGGUACCUGCAGAAGAAGCCCCGGCUAACUACGUG